GUGUUGUAUAGAAGGAGAGACGGUUAGCACUCCCCUUGAUAAGGACGGAAUGGCCUCUGGGCCUCAACACACAUAUGGUUAAGGCACAGCCGCCUACUUCGCGGCACUUAACCACAUUUUUUU
Non-coding RNA from Ixodes scapularis (black-legged tick), 123 nucleotides. NCBI's taxonomy places the organism in Eukaryota, Metazoa, Arthropoda, Arachnida, Ixodida, Ixodidae. The record is from Rfam.